RNAcentral lists this ribosomal RNA (420 nucleotides) under bacterium. RNAcentral describes it as "partial 16S ribosomal RNA". It matches the Rfam family "Bacterial small subunit ribosomal RNA", at positions 355 to 776 of the family's 1533-position model. The record is from RNAcentral.
UGGGGGAUAUUGCACAAUGGGCGAAAGCCUGAUGCAGCGACGCCGCGUGGGGGAUGAAGGCUUUCGGGUUGUAAACCUCUUUCGCUAUCGAACAAGGCCCGCUUAGGGUGGGUGGAGGGUAGGUGGAGAAGAAGCGCCGGCUAACUACGUGCCAGCAGCCGCGGUAAUACGUAGGGCGCGAGCGUUGUCCGGAAUUAUUGGGCGUAAAGGGCUUGUAGGCGGCUUGUUGCGCCUGCUGUGAAAACGCGGGGCUUAACUUCGCGCGUGCAGUGGGUACGGGCAGGCUUGAGUGUGGUAGGGGUGACUGGAAUUCCAGGUGUAGCGGUGGAAUGCGCAGAUAUCUGGAGGAACACCGAUGGCGAAGGCAGGUCACUGGGCCAUUACUGACGCUGAGGAGCGAAAGCAUGGGUAGCGAACAGG